UACGUAGGGUGCAAGCGUUAAUCGGAAUUACUGGGCGUAAAGCGUGCGCAGGCGGUUGUGCAAGACCGAUGUGAAAGCCCCGGGCUCAACCUGGGAACUGCAAUGGAAACUGGCGGGCUUGAGUGUGGCAGAGGGGGGUGAAAUUCCGCGUGUAGCAGUGAAAUGCGUAGAGAUGCGGAGGAACACCGAUGGCGAAGGCAGCCCCCUGGGCCAACACUGACGCUCAGGCACGAAAGCGUGGGGAGCAAACAGG
RNAcentral lists this ribosomal RNA (253 nucleotides) under uncultured bacterium. Its description in RNAcentral is "partial 16S ribosomal RNA". It matches the Rfam family "Bacterial small subunit ribosomal RNA", at positions 524 to 776 of the family's 1533-position model. The record is from RNAcentral.